This 440-nucleotide ribosomal RNA is filed under the name uncultured bacterium. RNAcentral's name for it is "partial 16S ribosomal RNA". It matches the Rfam family "Bacterial small subunit ribosomal RNA", at positions 338 to 795 of the family's 1533-position model. The record is from RNAcentral.
CCUACGGGAGGCAGCAGUGGGGAAUAUUGCACAAUGGGGGAAACCCUGAUGCAGCGACGCCGCGUGAGUGAUGAAGUAUUUCGGUAUGUAAAGCUCUAUCAGCAGGGAAGAAAAUGACGGUACCUGACUAAGAAGCCCCGGCUAACUACGUGCCAGCAGCCGCGGUAAUACGUAGGGGGCAAGCGUUAUCCGGAUUUACUGGGUGUAAAGGGAGCGUAGACGGCAGGACAAGUCAGGAGUGAAAUGCCGGGGCUUAACCCCGGAACUGCUUUUGAAACUGUUCAGCUAGAGUGCAGGAGAGGUAAGUGGAAUUCCUAGUGUAGCGGUGAAAUGCGUAGAUAUUAGGAGGAACACCAGUGGCGAAGGCGGCUUACUGGACGAUAACUGACGUUGAGGCUCGAAAGCGUGGGGAGCAAACAGGAGUAGAUACCCUAGUAGUC